GUAGGUGGCGAGCGUUGUCCGGAUUUACUGGGCGUAAAGCGCGUGCAGGCGGUCCGCUAAGUCUGGGGUGAAGUCUCCCGGCCCAACUGGGAGGCGUUCUCAGAUACUGGCGGACUUGAGGAGGGCAGAGGAGAGUGGAAUUCUCGGUGUAGUGGUGACAUGCGUAGAUAUCGAGAGGAACACCAGUGGCGAAGGCGGCUCUCUGGGCCCUAUCUGACGCUAAGGCGCGAAAGCGUGGGGGGAGCGAACCGGAUUAGAUACCCGGGUAGUCCACGCCGUAAACGAUGGACACUAGGUGUGGGGGGGUAUCGACCCCCCCCGUCUGUGCCGAAGCUAACGCAAUAAGUGUCCCGCCUGGGGAUACGGCCGCAAGGCUA
This 377-nucleotide ribosomal RNA is filed under the name uncultured organism. Its description in RNAcentral is "partial 16S ribosomal RNA". It matches the Rfam family "Bacterial small subunit ribosomal RNA", at positions 527 to 896 of the family's 1533-position model. The record is from RNAcentral.